Rosa rugosa (rugosa rose) is the source of this 1041-nucleotide RNA transcript. RefSeq lists it as uncharacterized. Lineage: Eukaryota; Viridiplantae; Streptophyta; Magnoliopsida; Rosales; Rosaceae. The record is from RefSeq and is a predicted model, not a curated record. The transcript has 6 exons.
GGUAAUGAAGAUAGAAAUCUCUGCAGGCAAAACAAAACAACAGUGCUUAGGCGAUGGAGGAAAUCGUUCUAGGUUUCGGCGGCCGCCUAGGCGGGCUCGGCACUGGGCGUCGAUUUAUAAUAUUUUCAACCCAGACAUAUUUCUUCUCUCUCGCCAUCUGUCUCUCCUCCAAUCUGUCCUUAGGUCGGUGAAGACUCGGAAGGAACUGGUUUGCACUUCAUCUUCUGAAAGGAGCUGGAGUUCGAUGGAGAGCGAGACUUGAAAGGAUAUGGACAUGAAUAUUAGGGAAAUGGUUUGCACCUCAUCUUCUUAAAUUUCCAGAGUUCUUCCAGUCUUCAUCUAGUCUAUAGUACUGUUCUAGUCCUCUAGUUUAUGAUAAGUGUUUUGGUAUUUCUAAUAGUCAUCAAGAGUUCUUUUUGAAGCCUACAGUGAGGCUGUUUCUCAAAACAAUGAACCUUGGUCUCUUAUCGGAGAUUUCAGUAAUAUUUGCGAACUGAGGAGAAAAUUGGGGGUAGAUUCUUUUCUCUGGUGUAUUAACAGUAUUAUACAUGUUUGCUUCAUGCAGGAUUAACAGAGUCUAUGAGUUGUCUUUCUUUAAUAAGGUUAGAGUAUCUGGUAUCCCUGAGUAUCUCCUAUUUUUUGGCUGUGAUUGUAGACAUCUUGGAGAUGACUUAGGUAAUUCAUAAAAGUUCUGCAGUGGGAAUUAAAUGUCGUUGAGAAGGAUAAGGAUGCAUUAGUUGAGGACUUUUCUAAGGACGACUACAAUGACAUGGUGGAUGGAAGGCAAAGCUGGUUAGGACCAACUCUGGAGAGCAUAAGUGGGGGGCCCUCUUCACUGCCAAGAAUAAAUGGUUGUGAUACCUCAAGUUUUGCAUAUGCUGCAAUAUUGUACUCGAGUUAGAUAUGCAUUUUAGAUAAACAUUGUAUUAAGUUGCUAGUGUGUUGUGCUUUAGAAGGUCUUAUCUUAAACUAUGACGCUAUCCUAUUAUUGUUUGAACUUUUUCCGUCUAUAAUAAUGGAAUUGGGGUUUGUCUUUGCUCA